Siniperca chuatsi (mandarin fish) is the source of this 1661-nucleotide long non-coding RNA. RefSeq lists it as uncharacterized. The record is from RefSeq and is a predicted model, not a curated record. The transcript is spliced from 4 exons. NCBI's taxonomy places the organism in Eukaryota, Metazoa, Chordata, Actinopteri, Centrarchiformes, Sinipercidae.
GAGCAACUUCCCCAAACGUAACACAGCAGGCCUAUCCCACUAAGAGUCUCCACCUUCAAUGCGGAAAUACAAGCAGGGAUCAUUUAAAAGUGAUGGAGAUCUUCUACCUAAGCAAAAGUAGCAUUAUCCCACUGUAGAAACAAGCUGCUCCUCUACAAGAAGUCCUGCAUUCAAAAUUAAAAGUGUCACCUGAUCUGUUUUUACCCCCAUGGAUGUGGAUGUAUGAGUGGUAUUGCUGGCUGAACAGAAGCAGAAUAAUCUGAUACCACAGCUGCAAAACAGAUGCAACAUGAUGAGAGCUACAAUCCAUCAUGGAUCCUAUCAUGCUUAAUAGAGACAACAGUGUUGCAGCGCUCAGGUGUAUACUGCUGAAAUGUACAUGAAAAACAGAACUGUGGUGGAUGGAUAGGAGAUCAGAAACGGGUAGAAGCUGUGAUGACCACGUGCUGAGCUCUUACAGCAGCUCAAAGACCCCUGAUGGGGGUAGAGGGCUAAAUGAAGACCACCUGGACUGGGGCUAAUCCCCAAAACACUAUCCUCCUCCCCAGGACCACUUCAUGGAAUCAUGCCACAGGAUUUACACCAUUUUGGAUUUGAAACAGGCCUAUGAGUUUUUUUUCCUUUUGGUUGAAGAGUGGAUGGAGGUGGUGGUGAGGAAGGAGGUACUGAACCUUUUCUUAUGAGUCGUUGAUGCCAUGAACCUGCCGAAGUUCAUACCUCAUGCAUACUGCAGAACAGUGCUAUUAGAGGUUGUUAGAGUGAUGGAUUUGUCAUCAUAAAAUGUUUUCAUAUCCAAACUUUCAAUUCCCAGUGUCUGUUUUGGAUUAAGUAUUUGCGAUCUGGAAAAAAGGGACAAAUGGUUCUUAUUACCAAACUGUACAUCUACUUUCUUUUGCACAUUUGCACAAGUUUCAUGUUCAUAUCUGUUUUUUUUCAAAUCAUGUCUCUUAUCAAAUCACAGGACUACUUGAUACAAUUGUAACUCUAAAUUAAUACGUAGAGAAUUGAGGUCUUCAUAGUAGUGGUAUUUAAUCAAGAUUAGAUUUGUGGAUACAGAACCUUUUGAAGUCGUGUAUAAGAUAGUAGCCUCAAACAGUAAUCUGGCGUCAGAUUUGACUUUGUUGCACCAAACAUAAAUCACAUACAUCUGUACUGCACACACACACACACAUAGACAUGCAUGCACAGACACAGACAAACAAACACACACACAGAUAACAUGAUUAAAUAAGCUACGGAGACUGGUUGUCUACAUAUAUCUCAAGAUAAGGUAAAAGUGGAUAGCCGAUUACCAGGUGUUGCACCCAUUUCCUCUUGACUGCAGGUAGUCUCAGUAUUGAAGAGAGGAAACGAAAAGCAGAAGAGACACCAACAUCCUUUGAGCCUCUGAUUCAAGGGUUAUAGAGAACUGAUUGCCAUUGUUGUGGUGCAGGUAGUGGGAAAAAAAAGCUUUGAGGUUUUCUAACAAUGUAACAACAUCUAGCAAUGGUGCCAUCUAUUAAACUCACUAAUGUCCCCAUUCCACCAAUACUAGACGUAUUUUGUGAUCUAGCAAAGCCAUUGCUGCCCUCUAGCCAUAAAAGUGAAUGAAAUAAUGAAAGCAUGGUUAAUUUAGCUAUUAAGGAUAGCCCUAACCCUUUUUCACUGAGAACAUUUUGACA